Molecule: ribosomal RNA, 460 nt
Filed under: uncultured bacterium
Lineage: Bacteria
Description: partial 16S ribosomal RNA
Rfam family: Bacterial small subunit ribosomal RNA
Source: RNAcentral
CCUACGGGUGGCAGCAGUGAGGAAUAUUGGUCAAUGGGCGCGAGCCUGAACCAGCCAAGUAGCGUGAAGGAUGACUGCCCUACGGGUUGUAAACUUCUUUUAUAAAGGAAUAAAGUGCGGCACGUGUCCCUUUUUGUAUGUACUUUAUGAAUAAGGAUCGGCUAACUCCGUGCCAGCAGCCGCGGUAAUACGGAGGAUCCGAGCGUUAUCCGGAUUUAUUUGGUUUAAAGGGUGCGUAGAUGGGUUGUUAAGUAAGUUGUGAAAGUUUGUGGCUCAACCGUAAAAUUGCAGUUGAUACUGGCAGCCUUGAGUACAGUUGAGGUAGGCGGAAUUCGUGGUGUAGCGGUGAAAUGCUUAGAUAUCACGAAGAACUCCGAUUGCGAAGGCAGCCUACUAAGCUGCAACUGACACUGAUGCUCGAAAGUGUGGGUAUCAAACAGGAUUAGAUACCCUAGUAGUC